AAGGAAUAUUGGACAAUGGGGGCAACCCUGAUCCAGCCAUGCCGCGUGAGUGAAGAAGGCCUUAGGGUUGUAAAGCUCUUUCAGGUGCGAAGAUAAUGACUGUAACACCAGAAGAAGCCCCGGCUAAAUUCGUGCCAGCAGCCGCGGUAAUACGAAUGGGGCGAGCGUUGUUCGGAAUCACUGGGCGUAAAGCGUAUGCAGGCGGACAUGCAAGUCAGAAGUGAAAUCCCAGGGCUUAACCCUGGAAUGGCUUUUGAAACUGCAUGUCUUGAGUCUCGGAGGGGCCAGCGGAAUUCCCAGUGUAGAGGUGAAAUUCGCAGAUAUUGGGAGGAACACCAGUGGCGUAGGCGGCUGGCUGGACGAGUACUGACGCUCAGAUACGAAAGCGUGGGGAUCAAAC
Molecule: ribosomal RNA, 400 nt
Filed under: uncultured bacterium
Lineage: Bacteria
Description: bacterial SSU rRNA
Rfam family: Bacterial small subunit ribosomal RNA
Source: RNAcentral